Molecule: long non-coding RNA, 1245 nt
Filed under: Homo sapiens (human)
Lineage: Eukaryota; Metazoa; Chordata; Mammalia; Primates; Hominidae
Description: HSALNT0242676
Source: RNAcentral
AAUCAUGGGGAGAGUUUCCCCCAUGCUAUUCUCAUGAUAGUGAGUAAGUUCUCACAAGAUCUGAUGGUUUUAUGAGGAGCUUCCCCCUUCACUCAGCUCUCAUUCUUCUCCUUCCUGCCACCAUGUGAAGAGGGAUGUGUUUGCUUUCACUUCUACCAUGACUGUCAUUGGGUCAAGGUUUUGGCCAGAGAAUAGCAAGGAUGACUUAUCUCUGCUCCACUAUGUCUGGAACCUCUUGGAAUCAUUUGGAGUCUUCUUCACUCUCUUGCCUGGCACCUGGACUGGGAAAACUUGGAACCCACUGGGACUGUUGACCAAAGCACAAACAUGUGGCCUCUUCAUGUGGCUUGGGCUUUCCACAGCAUGGAGGCUGAUUUCUGAGGAGAGGCCCAAAAAUAAUAUACACAAACUACAUAUAAUUUUGACUCCUCAACCAAGAUGAAUCCAGUGCUCUAUCCUGGUUAAAUUAUCUCAGGCGUUCCCAGGUUACUUCACCCCUGGGGUCUCGACUCAGAAUAGAGAUUGAGAAUCACAGAUCUAGUUGAACCAUCCAACUUUUGAACAUGAAUAAACUGAGGACCCAGAGGUGAAGUGAUUUUUCCACAGUCCCACGACAGAUAUGGCCAAACCAGGGAUCCUUUUGCAUUGUGGUUUUGGGAAUCACCUGUAAACAGUAAGAACAAAGUAGCAAGGCUGGGGCUCAGCUGUAGACAAUAAAGCCUUUGCCUGAGGGUUGCAGGAAUGAGAGGCCUCUCUGAGAGGCCCCAAGUCGAUUUUGCCCUUCUCCAGAGACAGAGAGCUGGUCUACCUGAGGCUGACAUGGGGAGGAAAGGCAAAGAGAAGGAUUGCCUGAAUGUCAAUGGUGAUUUUGCACAUUUUACAGUCACUUUUAUAAAAAGGUAAGUGGAAAAAAAUUCUAUUUUCCAUUUCCUGCCAGGUUUUAUAUUUUACCCUUCACUUGCAAAAAAUGUCCAAAUCCAAUGCUUACACUUUAGAGGUGUAAUUUGGUUCUAAUUUUAUUUUAAAAAAUUUGCAGAUAGAGUUAGUGGCUCACUGUAUCGUUUUAUUUUUUCUAAAGCAGUAUAAUUUCUGGAGUGCAAAUGAGAAAGAUUCAAGAUGCCUGGUAUAAGAUAUAAAUUUAGUUAAAAUUGUUCCUCUAGAGUGUAAAUUAUACAUUGUGAUCCUGAUAUUCUAGUAAUAUUAACAAAACUGAUGCAUAAUCUUAAAGUUUAUGUGCCUCUACCC